This 247-nucleotide unclassified non-coding RNA is filed under the name Hevea brasiliensis (rubber tree). Lineage: Eukaryota; Viridiplantae; Streptophyta; Magnoliopsida; Malpighiales; Euphorbiaceae. The record is from RNAcentral.
CAGCCCAGUUUGGAAGAAGCGCUACUAUUGUUGGUGAAAGGCCACGGUACAUUCCCCUGAAACCUUCAGAACGCAUUAUGUCUUGUAGGCUAGUGAUAAUAAUACUACCUCCUCGUUGACCAGAUGGAAGACCAUGCACUUGCAGCCUCGUCUUGAUGACAUCUAAGGGGCAAACGAACGUGGCUGCUAUAGAACCUGCGGCAGCACCGGCACCGGCGUUGCAGAUCAAAUCCCUAGUGCUUCGAGG